UUCUGGAAUUACUCCUGCUCCCAGAAAGGGGAGAAGCUUCUUUCCGCUGAGGGAGGCAGAGCAUUGGGACCGGCUGCCCAGGGAGGGCGUGGGGUCUCCCUCUCGGGACGCGUUCAAAACUCACCUGGGCACGUUCCCCUGCCACCUGCUCCAGGGAACCUUGCCUUGGCUGGGAAGUUGAACUAAUCCAUCUCCAGAAGCCUCUUUCAGCCCUAACUAUUCUGUGAUUUCGUGAUUUAACACGAUUUAAAUUUUAAUAUGUAGGUGCCCUGAGGAAGGCUGGCUCCUUGCACUUGGGAAAGCUCUGUCCCCCGAGGCUCAGCGUGAUUUGGGGAGUCCAGCAGGUAAAUGUCUCAUUAGAGCUGUGGGUGAGCUGUCAUUACAGCUAACGGAGACAGAGCUAAUACAGACAGCAGAGUUUGGAGAGCUUUUCAGGUGGCCAAAUGAAGGUCUUUGCUUUAGGAUCAAAUUAAUUCCUCCCCAGGCUCCACCAAGGGACCACACUGAAGAGAUCACCACGGGCUCUGAUGGCACAUCUGACUCCAGCUCUCCAACAGCAUGGUAGGCACCCAAUAUGAGGUGAGCUGAAAUCCCGAUUUCAUAGGAGAUAUGGUAUCAUAAGGCUGAAACUAUUAGGGCACCAAAUUACGCCGACAUUUUCAAUGAAAAUGCAGAACUCAGAUUUUACUGAAAUAAGUCAUGUUAGGCAUUUAAAAAGGUGACAGUGCUUUGCAGCACGAGGUGUGUACACUUUGUGUUCAUGUGAUGAUGGAACUGUGGGCCUCAAAUCACAUUUACCUUACUGCAGUACAAGACUGAAAACCAAUGCCACUCUGGAACUGCAAAAUAUAAUUUGUCAGCUAGGUAACAAUUUUUAAGUAGGCAACCAAUAAUAAAAAUUUUUAGGUAAGUAAUAUAUUUCUUGUAUUCCAUAAAUUUUGUGAUAUACCAUAAAAAUGCACUUUAAUAUUUGCAUUCAAAUGCAAUUAUUAGCUAGCAUUCCAGAGUGCUGAGUUCCUGAAACUUUGUAAACUUAAUUUCUUAAAUACUGCCAAGGCGACAUAAAAAGACCUUUGCUUUGGUCCACAAAGACUUCAGCUAAGAUUAGCAUAUCAGCAUGUAUUUUUUAAAUGGCCAAUUUCCAGCACUAACUUCAGAUUUCUGUUGCUCACUUGUCCUCUCUGUACAAGGCCUGCAUCAGGUAGGUGGGAUUGGGACUCAUAAUCCGCUCACAGAGCAGAAGGUAUGUCUAAACCAGCCAGGAAGAAGAGACAAAGAGAUAGCACGUUGGAAAUCCUGACUUAUCCCAAGUUGAGGUUCUUUCCUCUGAAAAGAAUCUAAAUUGGAUUCACAGCAUGAAACCCAUCACAUACUUUGUGUCUUCGGCUACAGAAAACCAGCUUACUCUCUGCUGUCAAAGCACAGCUGGAAGAAAUUAUUUGCUACAGAAAUUUUCCUUCUUUCUUUCAAAUGCAAAUGACUCUGGCUGCUGUAUGCUACAUAUGCAAACUCUGUCUUGCUAGUGCACUGCUGAAUGCCUGCAACCACACAAAAGUGACAGGCAACCCUCAUUUCUAAGGAAUGGAAGGUAAAUAAGGAGGUGCAAAGCCUGCAAAGCUCGUAAUAGCUCCAGCGUGAAACCUCUUUGGGAAAAUCUUGGGUGCCUUCUGAAGCUGGGAUCUAAUGAGGUACUCAUAGCUUAAUUAAUUACUAUUUUGAGGAGGUUAGUUUUCGACUAACCUCCACUUAAAGUAAUUAAGCCUUUUUGUGGAUCUGGCUUUACUAUAGGCUCUCAGAAUCGAGUGACAGAGCAAUCAUUAUUUAGAAGUUUACAGUCCUAAGAGCCAAGACCUAGUAUUUUUCUGUUUUAUAGGCUCUGUUUUGAAGAUCUCCCUAGACUGAUUUACUGUAAGGUAAUCAUAUUAGAGAGAUUCUUCUCUGCAACGUCAGGUGCUGGAAUUGGAUUCAAGUCAUAAUCACUGAACAUACUAGAGACUAAGGCAUGUAUUCCACUGAAUGAGGAUGCAUUUGGGAAAUGUUUGAGGGCCAGUUUGAAAGCAGCUCUGUGGACUUGUUAUCAUUAACAGAUACAGCAAAGCUGGAUGAGUAGCAAUAGCUGGCAAACCAAAACCCUUGCAGAUUUGUCAGUACUGCUGGAAUACAGGCAGCUGGCUCUCAAUCUAUUUGCUGCUAUCUUAUAAACGUCUACAAAUACAUUACAGAAUCUGUGAAACUCCUGAUGUGUUUAUCCCUUGUUUUUUAAAAAAAUAUUAUGUCAAUAUUUCUGAGAUUACAGCAGAUGAGAUCCACUACGUAUUUUUGAGAAAACUGCACACCCCUUGCUAAUAAUUAUAGUUUAACAUACUGAUUGAAUAGUAGAGGAAAUGUAGUUUUUGCCCUCAGAUAGAGUGCCGAGAAGAGAGGUAUUUUUAUCAUAACACCAUCACUGUCAACUGGUAGCGUGUCAUAAGAAUUAAGCAAAUUAUUUGCAUUGUUAAGUAUAAAGUGUUGACUACUUUGGAAUUAAAUGAAAUCAUCAGUCCUCAUGCUUGCCUUGGAACAUAUCCCAGAAUAGGAAGGCUAGGACUUAUCUACUAAUCUACUCAGAACAAGCUUAGAAGGCUUUGACACUGCUCAAAUGUCAGUUUGAAUAUCUCCCAUUUGUUUAUUACAGCUAGUUAGUGGGGUCAAUGUGGUAUGGUCAAAAGAAAGUUAUUUAAAUUUUCUGCUCAAAAGAAAACCCCAGGAGACUGGAAUUUAAAUUUCUAACUAUUUUCUAAAAUGAUUAGGUUGCUUUCUUCUCUGAACCUGUGAUGUUGCUGAAGCAAUUCUUAAUUACUAAUUAAUCUCCAACAGUCAGAUGCUCCUCUGGCAUAUAGAAUGAAGGACAGCAGCAGAGUAAAACAGGAUGGAAAUGUAACACCUUGCUUGGGAAUUUUCUGACUAUAUUCAGUGCAGGUUAAUGAUUCUGCAGGUUAAUUGCAAGUGUUCUUUGUCUCUUUAACAUCUAGGGUUACCAUGGCAUUCAUAGCAGCUCUUGCAGUUAUUACAAUUACCUGAAAUAUUAACAGAUACAUAGAGGUUAAUGCUACAUUUCAUUAUUUCAGUAACUUCUCCCUACAGUUUCUAACCUUUGUGUUCAGUUACGGAAGAUGUUAAGGAAAACAGCUGUGCAACACACAUUUCCUGCAAAAAUCCAGGAGCAGUGCAGCUUGCUGAUAGCAGCUUGCAUUGGAACAGGAGGAAGGACAGAAGGCAGAUACUCACUCUACUGAAAUCAGACUGAUUUGACCUGUACCUUUCCAAAAUUAGUGAAUUUCUUUCACUCAUUCGGAAGUGAACAAGACUUUAUACUGCAGCAGACCUGUCCUCUUAAAGUCUAAUGUAUGUCUAUCAUUUCAUUACAUAGUUUUGGGGUUUUUUACUGGAGCUAGAAGAUACAGAAUGUUUUCUAGCUUAGCUCUUUCCAAGUAGAGCUGGUAGGUGUACCGUUAAUAAGGAGCAAUGGAGUUGCUGAAGGAGUACUGGGCUUUGUUGUUUAUUUCUGCAAUUGAUUUUCCAUCACACUAUUAUAAAAAAAAAUUAGGACACUCAAACAUGUUCCAUUAGUUAAGGUUCUAGCCAUGUGAUUUUUUGCAAAACUUAAAAUGCCAUUUUAAACCUGAAUGCUAUGUCAGUGUCUGGUAACAUGAAUGUGGGCAACUAUUGCUUCAGUUACUCAAACACAUCACUGCCUCGUUUUUCAGCUGGACCCCCUGAGUGGCAGGCAAUGACAGUGCAGUAACAAUUUAAGGUACUGGCUUAUCUGGAGCUGAGCCACAUACAGUUUUACACUGCAGGUCUUAACCAUCACUUCCCUUUUAACCAUCAGUCAUGUGAUCCUAAACACUGGCAACAAAUGCACCAAUGCACCCAGAUGUUGGCAUCUCUGUGUUCAAGGUGCAGCACCAAGCACUUGAUCAGCAGCUCGGUCUCUAAGUACUUGUAAAACACUGCCUAAAGGUACUUAAAUUCCAGGUCACAUUUAUUUUCAAUAAAUUUAUUUCAGUGAAGGUUGAAAUCCUGUGAAAAACAAGAACAUAUGGCAGGCAUAAUCAGGAACCAGAUCCUAAUACAAACAUACUGGGAAAGCAAGGUUAAGAUAAAAUAUUAAAGACUCAGAUUAAAAUCAACAAUUAAGAAGCAUCAGAAUCAAUCUGCCUAUGUUCGUGUUUUAUUUCACAUAGAUGAGACUUCUUGUGAGAAUUAAAAAUGCACUGGUCUGGCUGCCCUUGUCUGAGCAGCUGUUGCUGCAUUUUAGAUCACUCAUUUGAAGGCCAUUAAUUUACUGCAUAAAAUUGUGAAACAUAGUAAGCAUUAGCAAAAUGAUAAUGUUUAAGCAUAAUGCUCAGAAGACCCAAUUAAGGAAUCCAUUAGGAGGGCAAAUAAUUACGUAUAACAUUGCAUAACACAAUGUACUUUGCAUAUCUGUUUUCUCUGAUGCAUACAAGAGAUCAAGCACUAGUCAUCUAUUUCAGACUGAAUUUAUGUCAGAGAGUACCUUUGAGAUCUGGAGCAUAUGCUAAAUUACCCAAUAUAACUAUCAGUGAUAGCAAAAACACUAGAGCCUUUAAGAUGCAAAAAAUUAUUUGUAUUGUUCCACACAGGUAAGACGGUGUUGAAAUUGCCUAUUCUGAAAAUCAGAUGUCAGAAGAUAUUUAUAAGGUUUUUGAAGGCCUUUUUUCUCUCUGAUAGCUACUCAUAUUUCUCUGUUUCUCAGAUAUCCUCAUCCUCUUGCUUCACAUCCAUAUUGUAAUGCUAUCUGUGUAUCUCCACACAGUGCAAAGAUUAUUAAUCACCUGUGUUUACACUUGGAGGCAAAUCUGUGUUUAAGGGAAUACCUGAUGAGCCACAUCAUGAUGUUAUCAGGCCUGUAGCAUAACACUGCUAAGAGAUUAAAAAAACCAAUAAAGCUUUAAGCAGUU
Molecule: long non-coding RNA, 4964 nt
Filed under: Taeniopygia guttata (zebra finch)
Lineage: Eukaryota; Metazoa; Chordata; Aves; Passeriformes; Estrildidae
Description: lncRNA (ENSTGUG00000024645.1)
Source: RNAcentral